This 92-nucleotide non-coding RNA is filed under the name Clostridium sp. RNAcentral describes it as "c-di-GMP sequence". It matches the Rfam family "c-di-GMP-I riboswitch aptamer". From Rfam's summary of the family: GEMM was predicted in a large-scale screen for bacterial structured RNA regulatory elements. Genes associated with GEMM are involved in a diverse array of functions, including chemotaxis regulation, signal transduction, secretion and chitin. The record is from RNAcentral. Lineage: Bacteria; Bacillati; Bacillota; Clostridia; Eubacteriales; Clostridiaceae.
AUAUGCAAAAAGCAAACCUGACUAAAGUCAGGGACGCAAAGCCAUAGGAUCUAAAGUGCUGGUUAUAGCGCUAUGACAGCCUGGCUGCCGUU